This is a long non-coding RNA of Lycium barbarum (goji berry), 1668 nucleotides long. RefSeq lists it as uncharacterized. The record is from RefSeq and is a predicted model, not a curated record. The transcript is spliced from 15 exons. NCBI's taxonomy places the organism in Eukaryota, Viridiplantae, Streptophyta, Magnoliopsida, Solanales, Solanaceae.
GGCCAUACUUGUGUUUCAAUGUGAGUAUAAUUUUUGGGGCUUUUGAAAUUGAAAUUUGCUCUACGUGUUGAAAGCAGUCAAUACCCCGACUAUAGGAGGGUAUAAAAAAUAUAUGCAAACCAGCGGAAGGUUCUCACCGAAAGAUAAAAUAUUUGAACAUGAUCUUUCAAGAUGAACAGGUUUGUUGCAAAAGUGCAGAAAAGAUUGCAAGAACUCAUUCCAUCGAUACCGACAAACAAACUUUCACCUUCACACUCUGGAAAGAGGCUAUUAUUGAGGACGAAGGCAGGAAACUCCUUAGCCAAUUCCAAGAACGUCCUAUCAUCUUUGCCAGGAGUAUUGGGGUAUCCAAGUACAAUGGUAUAUCGUUGACAACAAGAUUUAACACAACAAUACAAACUGAUCCACCUUAUUCCCAAUGCCUACAACUGCACACAUGGGUCAUGGAAAAUAGAGAAAUGCUUGCUUCUUUCAGUCUGAGGAGCACAUCUGAAUCUGGAUCUCUUAUCAGGGUUUCAGUAGAUGAAUAAAUUGUGCCAAUUGCAAAUGUUCAAUGACAACAGGAUGGGCAUUCCUUCUCCAUUGAGGCAAAAGUAUCACUUCCAAAUAAACUCAAAAGUUGCUAUGUUUUACUAUGUCCCAACUGCAAACAAGAAGUGAGAAGUUUAAUAAAAAGAAAGUUUCAGUGUAUGACUUGUAAGCAACAAAAUAUGUUGAUUCCCAGGUGCCGAUUUGAUGUGAAUCUCCAAGAUGCCUUCGGCUCAACAAUUGGGAUAAUUAUAGACAAAGAAGCAAAAAAAUUAUUAUCCCUUACCACAGAAGAGAUUUACAACCUUGCUUCAACCGAGGAUGAGUUGCUACCAAUGCAGAAUAUUCAAAGCAGUCGGAAUCAGAACUUUUAUAUAAUUCAAGUGAAAAAAUCAUUCUCCCACACUUCUCAAGCAACAUUUGGAAAAUUGUACAUUUUUUCCUGCACUGAAAAAGGAAACAUGGUACAUUCUCUCCCUGAACCACCAAAAACUGACAUUGAAGAAGGCGGCAAAAGGAAAAAGAAACAUUUGAUUUCCCUCGAUGAAGAAACAAAAGUACCAAACGAGCGACGUCACUCGCUCAAGCUGAAACAAAAACUGGAGCCAACAACUCCAGUUAAAAUGAAAUAAAGGGUAACCAACUUUCUUUUGCAAUCACUUUUGGCUUUUGCAGAACAGUUCUUUUGCAGGGAAAUCAAUUCCAUUUUGCAGCUUGCUUUUGACUUUUUGUCUUACAACUAGAUAUUCCGACGACAUUUACAUCCAUCAAACAAAGGUAUCUGGUUUCAUUUUCCUUAUUGCUUGCCAGUAGAUUGGUGCCUAUCUUCUAAAAUAGGUUCUUUAUAUGCGUACCACAGCCGACAUGCUUUGAGGAAGAAUGCAGGGAAAUAGACAAGAAAAUUCUACAAAGGUUUAUCGGGAUACUGUGCAACCAAUUAUUCCUAUUAUCUUUCAGUUAAUACCCAGAUGCAAUUUCCACAGCCGACAACAACUGGUUGAAUCCAGAUUGUACCCUCUUACACCAAGAACAUCAAGAAUUUCACAACUUUUCUCUUUCUAGCAAGCUUGGCAAUGUAAUAAUAUAACUUUGUUCCGCACAAUAUGAAGCAUAUUAUGUUAUGAGUAAUAUUUAACUUGA